Molecule: ribosomal RNA, 254 nt
Filed under: uncultured bacterium
Lineage: Bacteria
Description: partial 16S ribosomal RNA
Rfam family: Bacterial small subunit ribosomal RNA
Source: RNAcentral
UACGGAGGGUGCGAGCGUUGUCCGGAAUCACUGGGCGUAAAGAGCUCGUAGGCGGUUUGUUGCGUCGGCUGUGAAAUCCCGAGGCUCAACCUCGGGUCUGCAGUCGAUACGAGCAAACUAGAGUGUUGCAGGGGAGACUGGAAUUCCUGGUGUAGCGGUGAAAUGCGCAGAUAUCAGGAGGAACACCGGUGGCGAAGGCGGGUCUCUGGGCAUUAACUGACGCUGGAGGAGCGAAAGCAUGGGGAGCGAACAGG